AGCAGUAAACUAAAGUAAUGAAGUGUUUUUCUCAGGCUGGUAAACCUGUUGACGAAAAUUAGACCAAUGAGAAGGGAGGGAGUGGUACAUGUGCUACACACACAGACACACACACACGCACACGCAUGCACGCAAGCACGCACACACGCACACACCACAAACUCAUACACCCUCACACACACAUAGCGCACUUAUAGAUAUAACACAUGCGCAUACAUAUAACCGCAGCAUUGCCAGAAAGCUAUCCUGCACACAUACGCGGACACCUACAUAAAUACAUACACACACAUAUAUAUAUAUACAUAUAUAUAUUAUAUAUAUAUAUAUGCAUGUCUGUAUACACAUAUGCGCGCAUAUAUGUAUACAUAAGCACAGUGUGACAUAUAUAUACACAAACACACUCGCUCGCGCGUAUCCACACUGAACUGACAACUGAUAACACUCAACGUGUUUCAGGUUGUAUACGCACACAUAGAAACCCAGUCCAUAUACACAUACACAUACGUAUACAUAUACAUACAUAUACAUAUACACACAUAAAGAUCUUAAUUCGCUACCAGUGCGUGCUUGGAGUUCCUUCUUGGUACAUCUGAAAUAUAUGUAUAUAUACAUAUACACAUAUAUAUAAUAUAUAUAUGCAUAUAUAUAUACAUAUAUAUAUAUAAACAUCUAACUACCCCAGGAUUGUAUAUAACAGAAAUCCAGCAAAAUGCAGGUUCUACCCUUGGCUCAUGAUUUCCCUAGCAAGCACAUGACCUUUUCUGGUCUGCUUGCUGUGCUGGUUGGUUUGUUCACUUUCAUAAUAUCUUGCGUCUACGCAGGAGGCAUGAUCAUUGGAACAUUGAUCUGUUGUUUAUUUCUUACUAUAGUCGGUGUGUUCCUCAUUCUUACUGGUCUCUACGUCUUGAAACCAAUAGUGGAAAAUACCUUGAUCCAGAUGGUGUUGAUUGGUCUCGGUUUAUUAUUUGCCUUCAUCUCAUUUUGUAUAUUUUGUGCCGUUGCAGAUGUAAGUUG
Molecule: long non-coding RNA, 1014 nt
Organism: Octopus sinensis (East Asian common octopus)
Lineage: Eukaryota; Metazoa; Mollusca; Cephalopoda; Octopoda; Octopodidae
Exons: 4
Source: RefSeq, a predicted model, not a curated record